RNAcentral lists this ribosomal RNA (119 nucleotides) under Pteropus alecto (black flying fox). The record is from RNAcentral. Lineage: Eukaryota; Metazoa; Chordata; Mammalia; Chiroptera; Pteropodidae.
AUCUAUGGCCAUGUCACACUGAGCACACCUGAUCUCAUCUGACCUCGGAAGCUAAGCAGGGUUAGGCCUGGUUAGUAUUUGGAUGGGAGACCACCUAGGAAGACCGGGUGCUGUAGGCU